CUAAGUAAAAUCUGCUUCUUCAGAAAUGAUGUAACUCCUCUGCUAAUUUUUUUUUUUUUUUUUUUUUUUUGAGACGGAGUCUCGCUCUGUCGCCCAGGCUGGAAAAUUGGGUUGUGAGUUAUUAUUAUAAACAGUAGAACAUGUUAGGCUAAUGUGGGUAAAAGAACUACCACAUGAGCUUUGUAUGGUAUUUAGCAAGGCAUUUAUCAAAUAUUACUUCUGGGGACCCAUUCAAAUCCAAGUAAUAAGUAGUGCCAUAACUGAGUUUCACUAUGUAUAAAGAUGUUCAUUCCAAAAAGUACAAGAUAUUUUUCUCCCCUAGGCUGCUUCUGAGCGGUUGCCCUCUCUAUACCUGAAAGAAUCAGAAAUUAACCAAAAGUAGGAAUUCUCAUGGGGCUUACCCAUCAAGGGAAUACCUUUAGAAUGAGGUGCUAAGGAAAUCAGCAUUCCUAUUCCUGAAAAGCCUCAACAAGAGAAGUGAAAAUCCUCGCCCAGGAUGGCUUCUCCUUUCACAUGCUCCAUGAAAUCCACCAGCCUAA
This is a long non-coding RNA of Homo sapiens (human), 539 nucleotides long. Lineage: Eukaryota; Metazoa; Chordata; Mammalia; Primates; Hominidae. The record is from Ensembl.